GCGUGAAGCGGCCACACCCACACAGAGGACGGGCGCAGCCUGUCUACCAGGUGACUCCUGUAGCGCCGUGCUUCCCGGAAGCGCCAAACGGUAGUUAGUCCUAAAAAGUGGAGAACAUGUCAUUUGCCAGAGUUCCUCUAAGGAGACGCUGUCCUGCAAGGAGAAAUCUCUUCCACGACAGUUCCUGUAGACGGGCUCCUGGCCACGCACCGGCCCGUGCUCCCGUUUUCCCGGUGUCCUUCUGUAACUUGUAACUGCUGUUUCGGAAAUGUCUUCCCCUUUCUUGUUUUCUUUUUAAAUUAAAGUAUACAAUGUUCAGAAA
This is a long non-coding RNA of Lemur catta (Ring-tailed lemur), 322 nucleotides long. RefSeq lists it as uncharacterized. NCBI's taxonomy places the organism in Eukaryota, Metazoa, Chordata, Mammalia, Primates, Lemuridae. The record is from RefSeq and is a predicted model, not a curated record. The transcript is spliced from 2 exons.